RNAcentral lists this ribosomal RNA (462 nucleotides) under uncultured bacterium. RNAcentral's name for it is "partial 16S ribosomal RNA". It matches the Rfam family "Bacterial small subunit ribosomal RNA", at positions 28 to 507 of the family's 1533-position model. The record is from RNAcentral.
GACGAACGCUGGCGGCGUGCUUAACACAUGCAAGUCGAACGGUAAGGCCCUUCGGGGUACCCGAGUGGCGAACGGGUGAGUAACACGUGGGUGAUCUGCCCUGCACUUUGGGAUAAGCCUGGGAAACUGGGUCUAAUACCGAAUAUGACUACAGGCUGCAUGGUCUGUGGUGGAAAGCUUUUGCGGUGUGGGAUGGGCCCGCGGCCUAUCAGCUUGUUGGUGGGGUGAUGGCCUACCAAGGCGACGACGGGUAGCCGGCCUGAGAGGGUGACCGGCCACACUGGGACUGAGAUACGGCCCAGACUCCUACGGGAGGCAGCAGUGGGGAAUAUUGCACAAUGGGCGCAAGCCUGAUGCAGCGACGCCGCGUGAGGGACGACGGCCUUCGGGUUGUAAACCUCUUUCAGCACAGACGAAGCGCAAGUGACGGUAUGUGCAGAAGAAGGACCAGCCAACUACGUG